UGCAAGUCGAACGGAAGUUUAAGCAAUUAAACUUUAGUGGCGAACGGGUGAGUAACGCGUAAGCAAUCUGCCCCUAAGACGAGGAUAACAGUUGGAAACGACUGCUAAGACUGGAUAGGAGACAAGAAGGCAUCUUCUUGUUUUUAAAAGACCUAGCAAUAGGUAUGCUUAGGGAGGAGCUUGCGUCACAUUAGUUAGUUGGUGGGGUAAAGGCCUACCAAGACUAUGAUGUGUAGCCGGGCUGAGAGGUUGAACGGCCACAUUGGGACUGAGACACGGCCCAAACUCCUACGGGAGGCAGCAGUAGGGAAUUUUCGGCAAUGGAGGAAACUCUGACCGAGCAACGCCGCGUGAACGAUGAAGUAUUUCGGUACGUAAAGUUCUUUUAUUAGGGAAGAAUAAAUGAUGGAAAAAUCAUUCUGACGGUACCUAAUGAAUAAGCCCCGGCUAACUAUGUGCCAGCAGCCGCGGUAAUACAUAGGGGGCAAGCGUUAUCCGGAAUUAUUGGGCGUAAAGGGUGCGUAGGCGGUUAAAUAAGUUUAUGGUCUAAGUGCAAUGCUCAACAUUGUGAUGCUAUAAAAACUGUUUAGCUAGAGUAAGAUAGAGGCAAGUGGAAUUCCAUGUGUAGUGGUAAAAUGCGUAAAUAUAUGGAGGAACACCAGUAGCGAAGGCGGCUUGCUGGGUCUUUACUGACGCUGAGGCACGAAAGCGUGGGGAGCAAACAGGAUUAGAUACCCUGGUAGUCCACGCCGUAAACGAUGAGUACUAAACGUUGGGUAAAACCAGUGUUGAAGUUAACACAUUAAGUACUCCGCCUGAGUAGUACGUACGCAAGUAUGAAACUUAAAGGAAUUGACGGGACUCCGCACAAGCGGUGGAUCAUGUUGUUUAAUUCGAAGGUACCCGAAAAACCUCACCAGGUCUUGACAUGCUUCUGCAAAGCUGUAGAAACACAGUGGAGGUUAUCAGUUGCACAGGUGGUGCAUGGUUGUCGUCAGCUCGUGUCGUGAGAUGUUGGGUUAAGUCCCGCAACGAGCGCAACCCUUAUUGUUAGUUACCAGCACGUAAUGGUGGGGACUUUAGCAAGACUGCCAGUGAUAAAUUGGAGGAAGGUGGGGACGACGUCAAAUCAUCAUGCCCCUUAUGACCUGGGCUACAAACGUGAUACAAUGGCUGUUACAAAGGGUAGCUGAAGCGCAAGUUUUUGGCGAAUCUCAAAAAAACAGUCUCAGUUCGGAUUGAAGUCUGCAACUCGACUUCAUGAAGUUGGAAUCGCUAGUAAUCGCGAAUCAGCAUGUCGCGGUGAAUACGUUCUCGGGGUUUGUACACACCGCCCGUCAAACCACGAAAGUUGGCAAUACCCAAAGCCGGUGGCCUAACUUCGCAAGAAGAGGGAACCGUCUAAGGUAGGGUCGAUGAUUGGGGUUAAG
Molecule: ribosomal RNA, 1430 nt
Filed under: 'Amblyomma variegatum' phytoplasma
Lineage: Bacteria; Bacillati; Mycoplasmatota; Mollicutes; Acholeplasmatales; Acholeplasmataceae
Description: 16S ribosomal RNA
Rfam family: Bacterial small subunit ribosomal RNA
Source: RNAcentral